GACGAACGCUGGCGGCGUGCCUAAUACAUGCAAGUUGAGCGCUGAAGGUUGGUACUUGUACCUACUGGAUGAGCAGCGAACGGGUGAGUAACGCGUGGGUAAUCUGCCUUUGAGCGGGGGACAACAUUUGGAAACGAAUGCUAAUACCGCAUAAAAACUUUAAACACAAGUUUUAAGUUUGAAAGAUGCAAUUGCAUCACUCAAAGAUGAUCCCGCGUUGUAUUAGCUAGUUGGUGAGGUAAAGGCUCACCAAGGCGAUGAUACAUAGCCGACCUGAGAGGGGGAUCGGCCACAUUGGGACUGAGACACGGCCCAAACUCCUACGGGAGGGAGCAGUAGGGAAUCUUCGGCAAUGGACGAAAGGCUGAACGAGGAACGCCGCGGGAGUGAAGAAGGUUUUCGGAUCGUAAAACUCUGUUGGUAGAGAAGAACGUUGGUGAGAGUGGAAAGCUCAUCAAGUGACGGUAACUACCCAGAAAGGGACGGCUAACUACGUG
Molecule: ribosomal RNA, 497 nt
Filed under: uncultured bacterium
Lineage: Bacteria
Description: partial 16S ribosomal RNA
Rfam family: Bacterial small subunit ribosomal RNA
Source: RNAcentral